UACGGAGGGUGCGAGCGUUAAUCGGAAUUACUGGGCGUAAAGCGUGCGCAGGCGGUUUGUUAAGCCAGAUGUGAAAGCCCCGGGCUCAACCUGGGAACCGCAUUUCGAACUGGCUAACUAGAGUCUUGUAGAGGGGGGUAGAAUUCCAGGUGUAGCGGUGAAAUGCGUAGAGAUCUGGAGGAAUACCGGUGGCGAAGGCGGCCCCCUGGACAAAUACUGACGCUCAGGCACGAAAGCGUGGGGAGCAAACAGG
RNAcentral lists this ribosomal RNA (253 nucleotides) under uncultured microorganism. RNAcentral's name for it is "partial 16S ribosomal RNA". It matches the Rfam family "Bacterial small subunit ribosomal RNA", at positions 524 to 776 of the family's 1533-position model. The record is from RNAcentral.